This 433-nucleotide ribosomal RNA is filed under the name uncultured bacterium. RNAcentral describes it as "partial 16S ribosomal RNA". It matches the Rfam family "Bacterial small subunit ribosomal RNA", at positions 29 to 507 of the family's 1533-position model. The record is from RNAcentral.
AACGAACGCUGGCGGCAGGCUUAACACAUGCAAGUCGAGCGAGUCCUUCGGGUCUAGCGGCGGACGGGUGAGUAACGCGUGGGAACGUGCCCUUCUCUACGGAAUAGCCCCGGGAAACUGGGAGUAAUACCGUAUACGCCCUUUGGGGGAAAGAUUUAUCGGAGAAGGAUCGGCCCGCGUUGGAUUAGGUAGUUGGUGGGGUAAUGGCCCACCAAGCCGACGAUCCAUAGCUGGUUUGAGAGGAUGAUCAGCCACACUGGGACUGAGACACGGCCCAGACUCCUACGGGAGGCAGCAGUGGGGAAUCUUAGACAAUGGGGGCAACCCUGAUCUAGCCAUGCCGCGUGAGUGAUGAAGGCCUUAGGGUUGUAAAGCUCUUUCAGCUGGGAAGAUAAUGACGGUACCAGCAGAAGAAGCCCCGGCUAACUCCGUG